GGUAAAUUUACCUCUUCUCUUCCCUACCGAACUAAUCGGGAGAAAACCAACUCUACAGAUCGUGGGAGGGUUCUGCUAUUUCCCGCACCAUCUCAGCCAGUGCUACACGCAGCCAUGGCGAUUCCCCUUCUCUGUAGGCCAACAGAGCAGGCCGCUCCAUCCAAGCGGUCGCGAGCUAGCCGCGGUGGCUCUGGGGAAGAGGUCGUCCCACCGGCGGGAUGCAGUUGAAUUGAAGCGACGGCGCCAAGUUGGAUUGUGAUUUCUGCGGCGGAGCGGCGCUGGGCCACGGCGACGCGCUCCACGAGCUCGAGAAGUGUCUUAUAUCUCCUCUCCCAUCCUCGUAUCCUUGAUUGAUCCUCGCCUCCCUGAUUGAUGUAUGCCCAUUGAUCUGGGUCGUUUUUUCAUUGACUAGGUAUGAAUAUGAUUGACCUCGUUUGCAAGUUUGGUCCCUGGCUCACUGCACGCGCCCAUGAGCUCAAGCCCCGCCCCUUACCUCCCUCUAACUUGGCCGCCUCCACCCCCUGGUAAAACCCCUUCCUGUUUUUGAUAGACUGAAGCUUGUUUGUGUCGGCAGAAUUUGUGUGUUUUGAGUUUGGCAUCUAAAUGAGGGUGGUAAGUUGUGAUGGGGAAAUUACUUGUCAAGGAAUCACUUGUGCUUGUUGUAGUGAGAGCAGAACGAAAUGACCAUGUUUUAUGAAAUUAUACUUCUUAUGCUAAGGUUGUAGUAUUAGACCAAGUCUAUUCUUUUUUAAAUUAGUGACAAAUUAGUAGCUCAUUUUGUUGUGGAAGCACAAUUUAACAUUCAGUCAGUAUUUUUUUAUUGUUGUUUAGAAAUUUUGACAUCAUGUCUGAAGACUAAAUUGAUAUCGGUUCAUACGAAUGACCAUGUCGCUGCUAAUCUCAGGCCAUCCAGGCAAGACAUAGCUUCUAGUUUUUCGGCAUCAGUGAACGCUUGAAGCACUCUGCCUGCAGAAAGCAGAACCUUUCCGGUUAUCUUGUAAAACCAUCCCCACACUCGCAGCUCCGGUUUCCCUGAUGAUAGAGCCAUCCACAUUGAUUUUGACCCAGUUCAUUCCGGCGGCUUCCAGCCAGAUCAAUUAUGUACUCAUCCACCCGCCACUUUCCUUCUUCAGUAAUUAACUGGUAUAUUCUUACAUGUGUUAUUGCAGUGGGCAAGUGCAGAAAAUUUAUGGUCUAUUUGGCGUGACGAAGUUGAGGGGAAUGUGUUGCAAACCAUGAUGUUUUCUUAAAAUCCAAUUGAUUUGGAUACACUUGCGAAAUGCAGAAGUAGUUUCAUCACUGUCUUUUUAUAUUUGGUAUUUUCUGACAUGAACUAUUGCAUCUACUGAGGUGAUUUCGUUGGGAAGCUUGCCAGACUAUACUCUAGACUCUCUACCGCUAUGCAAUGGUUCAUUUAUGGAGUUCUUGAAAGAAAAAAGGUGGUAAUUGAACCAAGCAAUUCAGUAUGAACUAAUAGAGUGUAGGGGGUUCUACAGAUGCAGCAGCAUCAAGGACUGUGCCUUGUGAAGCAUAUGGAGUGGAGUCGCGACAACGCCGUGAUUCUCAUAUAACCUAUGAGAAUGAACACAACCACAACCACGUCCAGCCACCGACCUAUCAAUGCUCGCUGUGAAUUCAGUAAAGCCUAACUGAAGUUACUAAUGCCAGAAGAAUAUAGAAGAACUCUCAAUUAUUAUGCAAUGGAUGGAAAAUGUCAUUCAGCUGGUCUUUGGUUAUUCAGUCUGACAAAAGAUUUGGAUGUGAGUGAAAUUUGUAUCAGGAAGGCAAAGAUUACAUUGCCUGUCAUUUUCAUGAUGUAUAGUGAAUACUUGAUCUGGGCUGCAACACAUUUACCUUAUGAAUAAUUCUGUCGAUAAAAUCGUGCUUGUUAAAUUUCCUUGUAU
This is a long non-coding RNA of Triticum dicoccoides, 1904 nucleotides long. RefSeq lists it as uncharacterized. The transcript is spliced from 3 exons. The record is from RefSeq and is a predicted model, not a curated record. NCBI's taxonomy places the organism in Eukaryota, Viridiplantae, Streptophyta, Magnoliopsida, Poales, Poaceae.